UGCAACAGUCCUUAAUAUAAACUUUCCCUAAAAGACGAUGCUUUCACAAAACAAUGCCAUGAAUCACCUCAAUACCAAACAUACUGUGUUAUUUGGGCCAUUUGUCCAACCUGAAAAAUGUCCUGCUAUCAAAAACUCUCCCAGCAUGCAAUGCAGUCCAGUAGAUUUAACGGGUAGAUGGUUUGCAUUCGUCUUUAAUACUUUAAACGUGGUUCGCCUAAAGAAUUAUUCAUAUGUUCCUCUCUCGUCAUGUCUUUUCUAGGUGUUUUUCUUUUGUGUGCCUGUAUGGCAAUGGCAACUUUGGUUGUGUUUCAUUGUGUCCUAUUAGUGUUUUACACAAUGUUGUUGUGUGAUUCAUUGGUGCGCUCUGUCUAUAUGUCGUCCUUUAAGGCAAAGUGUACUUGUGAUGAAUGGCAACGGAGUGAUUAACAUUCUUCAAACCGGGUGAGGAACCUAAAUUAUAAACAAAAUGUCAUAUGCUUUGAUAAAUAAAACAUGUGUACAGCUGUGUUGGAUCACAAAACACUGGGACCCGUAGAGACGAUGCUAUGACAUUUGAAACAAUACUCUUACUAAAAGCAAAAGGCGAAAAGGCAAAAUUAAAAAUGAGGUUUAAAAAUCAUGCAGUAAGAGCUGAUUAACGUUUAAGCUGUGCAUCCCCAAAAAGUGGGACACGUUGCAGCACAAAUGGAAGCCGUUGCUGCGGGCAGAAAAGUGCCUUCAGGGUGCUUUCAGUGUCACACAUUAUCAGCCGGCUCGCAUGAAGCCUGGGAAGUCAAACUGUGUGAUGCCAAUUUGGAGGCGUGUCAGCUGGUGUGAUGAAUGUCAGGUGAAUGACGACGCCAGGAAGGGAACGGCAGAGAAAAAUGGUUGUUUGGUGCCACCGGUGUAUUCUCUGUCAUUUCAUGUUCUGGUUUUGUUGAUGUGUAAAUGUGGGCAACGUGGGGCGACAAUCACAUCCAGAGUCUUUGGUCCGUCAUAUCUGAAGCAUUCAGGGUUUUCAUGCGUUCUGUUCUUUGGUCACUGUGGCUCUAAAAUGUUGUGUUCUCACAAUGAGAUGUGAGGUUGAUUUGGCAGCUGUGUCUUUAAUAUAUUUGGACAAUUCUUUCAAUCUAACAUGCGAUUUGUAUCUUUCAAUAUCGAACUCUUUGUUUCAGGGUUACACACCUAUUGGCGACCGUCGAACGUGUUAACGGUAAUUCUAAAAGAAAAUGUUCAUGCCGAAGCUUUUGAACAGCGCCGUGGUGACAUGGACACAAGCAAUGCGUCGCCCUGCGAAGGCCACCUGCCGUCCCGCGCUCAUCUGUGGAGCGCUGCCGUGUGACAGAUCCAUGGCCCGACGCCCAGAACUCUGCUGCCCCGUCCCGGGACUCCACCUGUCCGUCCCAGCCUGCCCGGGCUGUAACCUCUACAGACCCUUCCCAAAGUCUGCACAGCUGCGCACAAACAGCGUUGCACUGUUGCACUACUACUACUAAGGCAUUUCCCACUUCACGUAUUUUAAGCACAUGUGUAACGUCGUUCUCAUUCCCAACCCGUUACAAAUACCUGCUGCGGUUUUGGGUAAAGUAGGGAUGUCUAUUACUUUAACAAGACAAAGGUUAACAUGAACGGUCCCGUACUUGUGCGAACCCCCCCCCAUCCGCGCCGAAGUCCUUCUGAUGCAGACUUAACCCUACUGCCUCGGCGUGAAAAGAAUGUGUAGCGAUAACACCCGAACUGACUUAACGAAACGUGUUACCCUCGCACCAUUUGGUGAGAUCAGGCUGCACAGCGGCAUCGCGUUCGCUCUUGUUGACGUUCAAGUUAUGUAACUUGUGGCACACUUCUGAUCCAUCUGUGACUACAGUAAAGUGCAUUCUCGGGUGGAUACUUCCGACCGCUGUCGCCUCAAUGCCAGCUUUGUUUACAGAGUAUUUUUGUGGAAUUAAGUUUUUUUUUCCCUCCUUUGAUUGUGUCACCUUCGCCAAAGACGGAAAACGUGUGAGUGCACGUCUGAAAAGAGUGCUGAGCGGAUGCAUCUGGAUGUUAAUGUAGGACGUGUUACAGAAAGAUGCAACACAUUUCUCACCUGCUUCAGCAGCACAGAAUACACCUUAUUAUAAUUCGAACAUGCACUUUUAUUCAGGACCACCAGAUAGAAAUGUGUGAUCACGCGAGUGGACUCUCACAUACACUCACAAUUAUUUAAUCAUGAAUGACACACCGUUUCUUUUGGUAAACAUGUGAAGUGUUUAGCCUCGUGCUGGGAGAAGAUAAUUUAGUGAACAACCUCGCACAUCUCUAGUUCUUUGCACCGUGACACACCAGACACAAUGACUGAAAAUCCUCUGGCCGAACAUGCUUGUUGGGUCAUUGCGAGCUGCAGCCUUGUUAGCCUGCACUGCAUCGCCAGCCGGUAGCAGACGGACCAGCAUGAACGUCGUGAGGUGAGAUGUGGCACCUCACGGAGUGAUUACUGGUUUUACUCCAAAGACAUAUCACAGCACCACUCACCUUGAUUUAUCUGUUAUUUUGGCUUUUAAACAAGAGCGGGAC
Molecule: long non-coding RNA, 2538 nt
Organism: Gasterosteus aculeatus aculeatus (three-spined stickleback)
Lineage: Eukaryota; Metazoa; Chordata; Actinopteri; Perciformes; Gasterosteidae
Source: Ensembl